GUUUAUAUAAUUUGAAAAACUCACUACGAGAAGAACAACAUAAAAUAAUAAAUAACAUUGAAAAUCUAGAAUUAGAUAUAUAUUAUAGCACAGAUAGAAUAAAUUAUUAUACAAAACGAACUCGGUGAGGUAGUCGGUGGCAAUUCAGAUAUGCCCAUAGUCUGUAGUUCUUCUAUGACGAUGGGAUACUGGCGAAACACAUAUUCAUACCCUGCAUAUCAUUUCCCCAUAGAAAAGUAGGAGGCUUGUCGCCCAUUGGGAAUUAGGCUCUUUUCAAAGGCACCUUCAAGGAUUUAUCGCAGGAUUACCUUUAUACAUGUGAAGCCCAUUCCCAAAAAGGGGGAUUCGGAGGUAGGGAAGCUUAAAGAGACGCUCACUGCUUUAGAGGAAAAUGUCUACAGCUUGGAGGACCAUUUUUCUGCAGACAAAGAAACUCAAACCCAGUUGAGACUCCCAGCUAAAAAGUUAGCUGAUAAAGUCAGGAGCACAAAGUCGAGGGUUGAUCAUCCCUUCAUAAUUCAUUACAACGUGUACAGUUUUGAAGAAAAAGGCUGUUGAGGCUGUGGCUAUUCGAUCUGAAGAAAAACUUCACUUGAGGGAGGUCGAGACUCUUGGGUGGUUAAGAGAUUCUUUUUUUUCCUUAUUUUUUAUCAGAAUAGGAGAAGGUUAAGUCCACCGACAAAGGCUAAAAAAUAGCUCGAUUCGGCAUCCGUCCAUAAGGGACUAUGUUAAGAGCACCCCUCGCGGUAGUAUUUGGAUGGAAAAGUUGGGCAUCUUUGAGAAGGUUCUGGCCGACUCUUUUUUGAUCAAGGAGAAAGUUAACUUUUCUCGGAGGAUUAUACAUGCUAAUAUUUAUCCAUCCUUUGACCCCACCGAUGUGGCCUCUUCUCAAAAUGACCUAUCGUCGGGCAACAAUUCUGCAGAAGCAGUGGGCUCUUAAGUUGGGCUUGCAAGAGCCCCAUGUUCGGCUCAAGAGUUAUUUCCGUGUUUCCUGGAACUUGACACCUCCUAGUAUGUACUCUACUAUAAAUUUUAUGGAGAUGAGAAUUACAGUUAUUCAGUGCGAUGCAUUCCUAAUAAGCCUGUUUUAGAUCAAAAUCCGGUAUCAUUUUAUGUCUCAUUUUCUAAUGGUUGACUAAGGAUGCUAACUCAUUUUUAUCAUAACAUUCCUGACAAAUCCAUCCCCUUAUUUAGGAGGAAGGACUCUAUGUUGUAAGGUAACAUAAAAUGUCUGUCAGUUGUGCCC
Long non-coding RNA from Capsicum annuum, 1246 nucleotides. RefSeq lists it as uncharacterized. NCBI's taxonomy places the organism in Eukaryota, Viridiplantae, Streptophyta, Magnoliopsida, Solanales, Solanaceae. The transcript is spliced from 2 exons. The record is from RefSeq and is a predicted model, not a curated record.